ACGGGCAACUCAAGUGACACGGUUCGUUUUGGCCUCAUUGAAAACUUGGGAAUUGGAAGGGAACUAGGCGGCGGCGAAUUUGAGUAAGCAGGUCCAGCCCAGAGCUCGGAAAAUGGUGAAUUAUCGUUUGAGAUACCCAGCUCAUCAUAAGUCGUCUCCCUCGUAGGGAUAACUAUCGGAAUUGGAGAGCUUUUUGGAGCGGUCUUAUAUUCUGUAUUGUCAACAGGAUGAGAAUUCGAGGGGGGCUUGAUAGAUUGUGAUGGUGUUUUCUGAGAGGAGGAAGUAGGUGCAGAAAGAGUGACUUUGUUCACAGGAGCUGUGCAAGUAUCG
This 330-nucleotide unclassified non-coding RNA is filed under the name Hevea brasiliensis (rubber tree). Lineage: Eukaryota; Viridiplantae; Streptophyta; Magnoliopsida; Malpighiales; Euphorbiaceae. The record is from RNAcentral.